UACAGAGGGGGCAAGCGUUAUUCGGAAUUAUUGGGCGUAAAGGGCGCGUAGGCGGCCAGGCAAGUGACGGGUGAAAUCCCUCGGCUCAACCGAGGAACUGCCUGUCAGACUGCUUGGCUUGAGACCGGGAGAGGUGAGUGGAAUUCCCAGUGUAGCGGUGAAAUGCGUAGAUAUUGGGAGGAACACCAGUGGCGAAGGCGGCUCACUGGACCGGUACUGACGCUGAGGCGCGAAAGCGUGGGGAGCAAACAGG
Molecule: ribosomal RNA, 253 nt
Filed under: uncultured bacterium
Lineage: Bacteria
Description: partial 16S ribosomal RNA
Rfam family: Bacterial small subunit ribosomal RNA
Source: RNAcentral